Molecule: ribosomal RNA, 496 nt
Filed under: uncultured bacterium
Lineage: Bacteria
Description: partial 16S ribosomal RNA
Rfam family: Bacterial small subunit ribosomal RNA
Source: RNAcentral
AUGCACGCUGGCGGCGUGCCUAAUACAUGCAAGUCGCGCGAACAGACGAGGAGCUUGCUCCUCUGACGUUAGCGGCGGACGGGUGAGUAACAAGUGGAUAACCUACCUAUAAGACUGGGAUAACUUCGGGAAACCGGAGCUAAUACCGGAUAAUAUAUUGAACCGCAUGGUUCAAUAGUGAAAGACGGUUUUGCUGUCACUUAUAGAUGGAUCCGCGCCGCAUUAGCUAGUUGGUAAGGUAACGGCUUACCAAGGCGACGAUGCGUAGCCGACCUGAGAGGGUGAUCGGCCACACUGGAACUGAGACACGGUCCAGACUCCUACGGGAGGCAGCAGUAGGGAAUCUUCCGCAAUGGGCGAAAGCCUGACGGAGCAACGCCGCGUGAGUGAUGAAGGUCUUCGGAUCGUAAAACUCUGUUAUUAGGGAAGAACAAAUGUGUAAGUAACUAUGCACGUCUUGACGGUACCUAAUCAGAAAGCCACGGCUAACUACGUG